CAUAAGCCCACGGCUCGGCAUCGAGCAGAGGGAAAAGGAGCAAUCCGCUUUGAGAUGGCCUCGCGUCCGAUUAGCUAGUUGGUGAGGUAAUGGCCCACCAAGGCGACGAUCGGUAGCCGGACUGAGAGGUUGAACGGCCACAUUGGGACUGAGACACGGCCCAGACUCCUACGGGAGGCAGCAGUGGGGAAUAUUGCACAAUGGGGGAAACCCUGAUGCAGCGACGCCGCGUGGAGGAAGAAGGUCUUCGGAUUGUAAACUCCUGUUGUUGGGGAAGAUAAUGACGGUACCCAACAAGGAAGUGACGGCUAACUACGUGCCAGCAGCCGCGGUAAAACGUAGGUCACAAGCGUUGUCCGGAAUUACUGGGCGUAAAGGGAGCGCAGGCGGGAAGACAAGUUGGAAGUGAAAUCUAUGGGCUCAACCCAUAAACUGCUUUCAAAACUGUUUUUCUUGAGUAGUGCAGAGGUAGGCGGAAUUCCCGGUGUAGCGGUGGAAUGCGUAGAUAUCGGGAGGAACACCAGUGGCGAAGGCGGCCUACUGGGCACCAACUGACGCUGAGGCUCGAAAGUGUGGGUAGCAAACAGGAUUAGAUACCCUGGUAGUCCACACCGUAAACGAUAAUAAAAGGUGUUGGAGGAUUGACCCCUUCAGUGCCGCCGUUAACACAAUAAGUAAUCCACCCGGGGAGUACGACCCCAAGGUUGAAACUCAAAGGAAUUGACGGGGGCCCGCACAAGCAGUGGAGUAUGUGGUUUAAUUCGACGCAACGCGAAGAACCUUACCAAGUCUUGACAUCCCUCGACAGACAUAGAAAUAUGUUUUCUCUUCGGAGCAAGGAGACAGGUGGUGCAUGGUUGUCGUCAGCUCGUGUCGUGAGAUGUUGGGUUAAGUCCCGCAACGAGCGCAACCCUUAUGGUCAGUUACUACGCAAGAGGACUCUGGCCAGACUGCCGUUGACAAAACGGAGGAAGGUGGGGAUGACGUCAAAUCAUCAUGCCCUCUAUGACUUGGGCUACACACGUACUACAAUGGCGUUAAACAAAGAGAAGCAAGACCGCGAGGUGGAGCAAAACUCAGAAACAACGUCCCAGUUCGGACUGCAGGCUGCAACUCGCCUGCACGAAGUCGGAAUUGCU
This 1139-nucleotide ribosomal RNA is filed under the name uncultured bacterium. Its description in RNAcentral is "bacterial SSU rRNA". It matches the Rfam family "Bacterial small subunit ribosomal RNA", at positions 172 to 1336 of the family's 1533-position model. The record is from RNAcentral.